CCAGACUCCUACGGGGAGGCAGCAGUGAGGAAUAUUGGUCAAUGGGCGAGAGCCUGAACCAGCCAAGUCGCGUGAAGGAAGACUGUCCUAUGGAUUGUAAACUUCUUUUGUACGGGAAUAAAGUGGGCUACGUGUAGCCUUUUGUAUGUACCGUACGAAUAAGGAUCGGCUAACUCCGUGCCAGCAGCCGCGGUAAUACGGAGGAUCCGAGCGUUAUCCGGAUUUAUUGGGUUUAAAGGGUGCGUAGGUGGAUUGAUAAGUCAGUGGUGAAAGUUUGCAGCUUAACUGUAAAAUUGCCGUUGAAACUGUCGGUCUUGAGUGCAAAUGAGGUAGGCGGAAUGCGUCGUGUAGCGGUGAAAUGCUUAGAUAUGACGCAGAACUCCGAUUGCGAAGGCAGCUUACUGGGAUGCAACUGACACUGAGGCACGAAAGCGUGGGUAUCAAACAGGAUUAGAUACCCUGGUAGUCCACGCAGUAAACGAUGAAUACUAGCUGUCUGCGAUAUACAGUAGGCGG
RNAcentral lists this ribosomal RNA (516 nucleotides) under uncultured bacterium. RNAcentral describes it as "bacterial SSU rRNA". It matches the Rfam family "Bacterial small subunit ribosomal RNA", at positions 331 to 846 of the family's 1533-position model. The record is from RNAcentral.